AAGAAUAUGCCCUACUAUUAUCGAGGAAGAAUUUUGACGAGUAUGUCCGGGGUUGAUCUUUCUUGUAACAAACUGACAGGUGAGAUUCCUACUCAAAUUGGAUAUCUCACUAGGAUUCGUGCACUAAAUCUAUCUCAUAACAAUUUGACGGGCACAAUCCCGACAACAUUUUCAAACCUGAAGCAAGUCGAAAGCUUGGACCUCUCCUACAACCUAUUGCAUGGGAAAAUCCCUCCUCAGCUCAUUGUGCUAACUACAUUGGCGGUCUUCAGAGUAGCAUACAAUAACUUAUCAGGAAAAAUCCCUGAUAAAGUUGCACAAUUUUCAACUUUUGAGGAAGAUAGCUAUGAGGGGAAUCCUUUUCUUUGUGGACAGCCACUGUCCAAAAGUUGCGAUGAUAAUGGAUUAACAACAGUGACAACAGAAGCUUACACCGAAAAUGAAGAAGGUGAUAGUUUAAUUGACAUGGACAGUUUCCUGAUCACUUUUACAGUUUCUUAUGGAAUUGUGAUAAUAGGAAUUAUUGGAGUUUUGUACGUGAAUCCUUAUUGGCGGCGAAGAUGGUUUUAUCUUAUUGAAGUGUGUAUGACCUCUUGCUACUAUUUUGUGGCGGACAAUCUCAUUCUCAAAAGAUUCUACCGUGGACGGGUGUAAUUUCAUUACAUGUACUUUUUAAAGAAUUUUCUUUUGUACGCAUGGAGUAGCAACUCAAUAAAGUGUUUGAUGCAAAUUGUCCAAUAAUAACAGUCGGUAGUACAUAUACAGUUAAUGAUAUUUUUAACCAUUCGCAGAAUGCCCUUAGGAAUUUCUUUAGAUGGCCGCCAAAACUAACACAUCAUAACUGGCAAAAGGUCUCUCUUUUACACGGUCUGAAUGAAGAUUAACUUAUGCCCUCUGGAGUAUGUGUAAGUUCUCUUUUAAAUUUAUGGGUUGAGAUUUCAGGUCCGGAUGGAAGUUGAAUGCAGGCGACGAGACUUCGCUGGAAGAUAACUAGAACUUGGAAUAACUAUCAGAUUUGCUACUCUUUAUUUGUUAUAUGCUAGUGGGGAUUUUAGGUAGCAAUUAUCGCCUUGGGAGUUACAGUAAUCGAUUCGUAUCCUCCUUUAUUUCCGAGGGUAACCCAGCUCUAUACAAGAAGAACAAGAGAAGGUUCAUUUAAGAAAUUUCACCACCCACAAUUUUUUUUUUCUUUUUUCUCUCUUCCUCACAACAAAUACACCUAACAGACCAAACCGUGCGCAAAAUAAUUCUGUUCUAUGCAUGUCAUGAAUCCAAAAAGUCAAAAACUAUUCCAACUCAGUUUGUUUAAUCAGCAUAACUAAAUUGUGGGUAUAAAACUAUAAAUGAACAAACUUUUGAAGCCUGUAACUUACAAUAAACACAAACCCAAAAAUGACAUUUAAAUCCUGCAAGUGUUUUUUCAUCAUCCCUAACAAAAAGAAACAAGAAUAAUUAUAUACCAAUAAUUUUUCUACAAAAAAUUAUAGACUCAAGGGAGGAUUAAGCGGCGGAGCUGUUGGUGUAGAUGAAGAGACAGGCUGCAUCAUCGGCGCAGAGGAGGAUGGAGGAGGAACAAAGAAUAAGGAAGGCUUUACGAGAUUAGGUGUCCCGUUGCCAGAUUCAGAGGUGUCAAUGGGUGGCAUUAAAGGAGUAUGUGCUGAUAGAGGUGGGGAUGGUAUUUGCAAGGUUGGCACAGUAGGAGAAGCAACACUGGCAGGAUGAGAAGGUACAGAAAUAGUUGUAUUGCACUGGUAAGGUUGUGCAGAAAUUGCUGCAUUAGAAUAAAAAAUUAUAGUCCAGAGUAAUGGGUCGCUCAAUUUAUCGAAGAUAACUGGAUCUUAGAAUAGCCAUCAGAUUUUCCAUCAGAUAACUGGAUCUUAGAAUAGCUGGAAAUGUGUUUGGUUACUGAGAAAGAGAGCAAGAAAAUGAAAGAAAUCUAUUUCACUUUUUAUUUAUCAGAAUGAUUACAUUCACAAUGAAUCUAAGCUGAUAUUUAUACUUGAAUGAAUACACACGAGAUUCUUCUUGCUAGAUACUUCUAGAAACUCUACACGCACACUCGCACUGAGCUAGUGGUUACUAAAACCGUUACAACAAUAUUGCCAGCUCAGCAUAACCAACUUAUAACUAACACACUCAGCUGCAGGGGAAACCAUCAAGCUUACUGCGCAUCCUCUGUAAUCAAGCUUCUUUAAGCAUGCUCUGCAGAUCAUAUUUUUGUGGGUCUUACAUUAUCCAAAAAAAUAACUCGUCCAUCUAGUAACUGCAAGUACAUACUGUGAGAUGCUUAAACUCAACAAUAUAAGCAUGGUAAAUUAGAGAAAAAUGAUGCAAAUUAGAUACACCUGCACAGAAUGCCAGUUAAUUUGGUCAUAAUUAGAUAACAAGAUUGCAAAUUCUGCAGCCAAAGGUAGAACGCAACUAAGGAAAUCAAAUAUGAACAUGUCUUCAAUCUCAAAAUAUUAAGAGUAGCAUAAGUAACUUGUGAAACAGUUAUAAGUUCAAAGGAAUUAGAUGAUGGCAUGGUUGAAUUUAUAAAUAUUUGAUAUUUUGGACCGAACAGGGCAAACAGAUGGAUCCAGAUAAUUAAGAAAAAAUAUCAAUUCCAUGCAACCAAAUUAGUGUGUACAAUGCAAUUGCCUUUCCCUAUGAGAGUAGAGAGCCUAAAUACAAGCAAAAACCUACUAAUGCAUCUGCAGAAGCUCACAUUCACUAGCUGCAUGAUUAAAUCACUGGAUGGUCUCGCUAUGCGGUGAAGAAUGAAAUAAUUAACGACCUGAUAAGGCUGCAACGUGAAGAAACUAUUCACCAGAAAAAGUUCAAAAUCAAAUCAACGUGGUUUUGAUUUUGGAAAAAAUGAAACAAUACGUAGUGAAUGAAUCUGCUCGUAACUAUGCAAGACACAAUCACUUCCCAGGAUCUCAGAUAUAGAUUUACCAAGUUGCACAGAUUGAAGAACGAAUCCAGAAAGAAUCAAUUUAACACAAGAAUUAAGAGAACUGAAAAGAAUAGAAACAAACACAGACAACACAAGAAUCAAUUACGUGGUUCGGUUGCACCAAGGAGGCACAACCUACAUCCACCACGGGAGAUGCUUUGGAGAGCUUUUAUUGAAUAACAAUGGAGGAUCUUUUACAGGGCUUUUACUUAAGAUUACAGAGAACUCAUCUUUCACAUUCUCUGAUAUCUCUCUCUCUCUCUUAACACGGUUACACACACGCUCAGCUCACAAACUGAACUACAAGAGCAAUUAGCUAAAUCUAGAUUGCACAGCUUGUUGACACGUUGAGUAACAGACUUAAUGAACUGAAUCAAGUUGCCUCGCACGGCUAUCACGUGCAUCACUUAAAGCUUUCCCUUAAACGACACAGAAGAACUGCCGUUUCAAACUUAAGAAACAAGUGAUUACACACGUGCUUGAGCCCGUGACUUUUAAGUGCUCUUAUCUUAUAUUGCCAAAACGCUGCCGUUUAGAGCUGAUGAGUUUGAUCCACCAGCAAGCCUCACACAAUAUCACUUGAGCAACACUAUAAAAUUAUUCAAAGAAAUCUCUAGGUCAGUAUCCAAAUAUAUGGCUCCGUCCGUUCCACCAGCACCUAAAAUAUCAGAUCCCCCCAUUUGGAUUCGAUUGAUUAAUUUGAGCAUAUAAAAUCGGGUUUUAAACUUCCCUAAUCAAAAUUUAUAUUCCGCAGAAUCGGUUCCUUUAACAUGAUGCAUUACAUAAUAUUUUGUUUGCAAAAUAAAGAAGAAAGAUGACAUAAUAGAAACACUCGCAGAGAGAGAAUACCUUUGACGAAAAGCUUAGAAGUGAAUCCUCUGUAAAAUACGAGUUGAGCUGCUGAAUUUUUCGAGUUUGAAUGAGAGACUGCGCCAUUUCUGAAAAUGUUUUUUUCUCAUUAGCGCCGCCAUUUUUGUAAUAGAGGGUAAAGAAAUAAGUAACAAAGUAAGAGGUGAGCAGAAGCGGCCCAAUUUAGUUAUAUGCAUGUAUGUGAUCAAAAUUGGAUGGUUAAAUUUUGUUGUUUCCAAUAAUUUUAUGUUGUAUCUUUUUUAAUAAUAAAGAAAACUUGCAUUAAAACUAAAAGUAGGGUAAUACCUGAUUUUAUAAAUAGAUUGCAGUGUAAUUUUGAAAAUAAAACAAUAAUUUACGAAAUGGUUAUAACAUAAUUUUAAUUUUUUUUCAAAAAGGAAAAACAACAAAAGUAAGAUAUAGAGAAUGAGGGCUGCAAACUUUGUAUCUUAAACGGCCGUUAGAUUAUUUGUAAAUGAAAGCAACGGUGAGAUAUUAGUGGCUUAUGGAAACAGGUAAUCAUAAGGACUACAAGUUUUUUUUGGUUACAUUGAUAUAUUACAAUCAUGAUUCUAUUAAUAUUUACAAUCAGAAUUUUAUCUGAUUAUCUUUAAUAAUUCUAAACUAGUACAGCCCAAAUUUCUAUUCUCAUAUAAUAUUAAAGAGAGAUAUAUAUUCUUUUCCUCUAUUAAUGAAGAGAUUUUUUUACUUCUAUCCAAUUUAAUUGGAAUGAGAAUUAAGUACUUUCAAUAGUGAGGACUCAGAACUCAUACAUGCAGAGUGUGGGGAGUGACAAUGGGCCAAGAGACCAUUGACAAGUACAAAAGAGUGGUUGCAAUUAAUUCAAACCGCUACACACGGUAUUGCAACCAAAUUGAGGGCCCAUUUUUGUUUAUUUCAUUGAAAAAUAGUUUGCACAAUUAAUUCAAACCGCUACACACGCUAUUGCAACCAAAUCGAGGGCCCUUUUUUGUUCCUUUGGUUGAAAAUUAGUUUGUACAAUUAAUUCAAACCACUACACACGCUAUUGCAUCUUUUGAAAAAGAAAAAAGUGGAAUAGAUUUCCAAGAUUAAUUCAGAGAAUAAGAUUUAAUAAUAAUGAUGUUAGAAAUCUUGAUAUUUGAAUCUUAAUAUUAUGUAUCACUGAUUUAUUAAAUAAUAGAUUUCAUAGUUUGUAAAAGUAUUUAACCACUUGAUAAAUAUUAUAUUUGUUGAGACUAAAUUAGGAUUUAAAUGUUGGAAUAUCUAACAUUACAUAAAUAAAUAAAAACUUAAUAAUUUAUCUUCACACGACUAAUUAUUUUUGCAUCACAACUAACCUUAAUUAUUUUAAAAAUAAUAAUAUUAUUAAAUUGCCCUGACUAGAUAUCAAAAGAUGAAAGCAUGUUAAAAUAAGAAAUUACUAAGAAACAUGUGCUUAAACAAAUGUUCAGGCUACGAACAAUUAAGAAGAAACAACUUACAAUCAAAGGUUAAGAUUAUGAACAAUUUAAGGAAGGUAUUGAGCAGAUAAAGGGACGGAAUGGUUGUUUGAAUUGCCGAUGACAAAAAUGCUUGUGUUGUGAAAAGAAAUUUGAUGGUUUGUAAAUGGGUUGAAUUUUUCGCUCGCUUCAAUGACUUUCUUAUGCCCAAUAUAUUACUUUGCACAGUAGUAUUUGGGAUAUAUCCUAACAAUCAACUCUUAAUUUGGUCCCAAUAUAUUACUUUAUGAAUGCUUGUGUUGUUUUUUUUUUAUAUAAAAUAAUUUAUUUAACUAAUCAUAGAAAUAAGGGAGAAAAGGGGGCAUUUGUUGACUCAAAGUCAAUUACAAAUAUUCCAUGCCUAACUUCCACGCACCCUAAAGCGGUUUGAUUUGCUUUCACGCCUUCAUGAAUUUCCAUGAAAGAGAGUGCCUCUCGUCUCUUUCCGGACAGUGCCGACAAUUAUGUUAACGUGACAAAUACAUAACGUUAUUACAUACAAUAAUAAGUUUUUGGAGCCGAGACUUGAGAGGGAGGUUCUAUCUAAUUCUAAAGAUUGUAACCAAAUCAUUAUCCCCAAUUUUUUUCAGUUAAAUAAAAUAAAAUUUAUGCUUAAGUAUAAAUAAAAUCCACAGUGGAUAAAGAUUUGAUUAUCGAUUUUUUUUAAUGUAAAAUUGCUGGUUUGUUGCUUAAAAUUUUCAAUAAUAAUUUCACUUAUUUAGUAAUUAGAGAGAGAGAGAGGAUUGAGGGCCAAUGUUUCGCGAUUUGGGGUCAAUUCACAGUCAACUAACGUGUAAAACAUGAUUUCCUUUCAUGAACUUCGAAGAAAGAAAGAAGACUCUUCGCCUUCUUCGUGACAACGAAUGAUGUUGAUAUGACAAAUACAAUCGCUAUUACAGGGAACAACAUAGGACCGAGACUUGAUAAAGGGUUUGUUAAAUUACAUGUUAUUUUCUUGCUGACUGAAUUGGAAGAAAAAAAUAAAAAUAAAAUAAAAUUGUAAUCAGGGUGAUGUGUGGAAUAUAUUGAAAUAAAUAAAUAGAGAAGAGAAAUUUGUUGAUCAAUAUUCAAGAACUCAUCCAAAGUGACUGUUAAAUUCUAGAGGUUCCGUAUGAUUAGCAUUUAUUUUUAAUUUUUUGGCUUAACAUCAUAUGUAGUCACUGGUCAUGUGAUCUAGGAUAGGUUUAGAAAUCUUUUUUUUUUUAACUUCCGUAUUCUUAUUAUUUAAUUAGUUAUAGGGUUUUUUAGUAUUUGAGUAGUGAUCACAGAUCUCCUAAUAUAAAAAUAUGUUUCUACGAGUACAAAUAAAAACUAGGAUUUUAACAACCUUUUAUACUAAACCCUAAAAAUAUAUGAAUUUAUCAAAAUAAAUAAAUUUGAAUUGGUAUGCCAUAAUAAAAAUUUUACUUGCCAAAACAAAUUAAAAAAAAUAUGACGCUUAAAUCAAAUAUCGACAAAAAUAGAUAAAAAUCCAACAAGAAUCUCAAAAAUAAGAAAGAUAUCUUCAGACAAAAAUAGAAGCGUCCAAGAGAAAUUUGACAAAGACAAAUACCAAUUACUCAAGUUAUGGCCCUAUGAAGACAUCCUAUUCAUUCUACCUAGACCAGGACGUGUCGCACAUGUUUGCAUUCAAAUUUAGGUGAAAGCAAAUCGAGAGUUUGAUUAAAUUCAACCAAUUAUUAGUGUGUAAGGAUGGUAGGGAUGGAAAAAAACUCCGACCGUUCUUAGGUAUGGUAUUACCCAGAUCUGGCCUAAGCAUGUUUUUUUGAACACUCGGACUUUUUUAAUCAAAACUUAAAAAACCUAGAAUUUAUAUUUUAUAAUAUUAUAUAUAUUUAAUUUAUUUUAUAAUUUUAUAUUUUCAAAUUUUAUUUUAAUGAAAUUGGAAUUAAAAAUAUGAGUUUUAAAUGUUUAAAAAUUUAAAAAUAGAUAAUAAGUGGACCAAAUGAACAAAAUAAUAGAUAUUUUAUAAUAUUCUUCAUAAAAAUCCAAGUUUUGAGCUAGCCCAUAAGCUUGUCUAGUGAAGUCUGGGUACCCGCGUUGCCCAAGGUUCCGCCAGAAUCCAGGCUGUGCAGAUAUUUAUGGACGGAGAGGAAAUAUUUUCAGUUGACUGAAUUAAAUAAAAAUAUAUUACAAUCAUAUUAUAUAUUAACAGAAAAAAUAAAAAGAAAUGAAGAAAAACGCAUGCAAGACUUAGACAAAGUCAAUUAAAAGCUGGGAGUAUCAUCAGUUCAAUUGGUUUUAAAUAGCGUAGAACCAUCCUCUCGUUGUUGCAGAAGAGAGACAGAAAGAGUGUGUGUAGGUGAUUAUAAUUAAGAAGAUAUAAUGUGUGGUUCAAAAAGAGUGUGGGUGAGUGAGUUAAUUUUCAUAUUAUUAGUAGUAAAAGGGUGGUGGAGUGAGGGAUGUUUGGAGCAAGAGAGGUAUGCUCUCCUCCAACUCAGACAUUUCUUCAAUGAUGAUCAAUGUCUUCAAAACUGCUGGGUAGACGAUGAGAAUUAUUCAGAUUGUUGUCAGUGGGAACGGGUUGAGUGCAACGACACUACUGGCAGAGUGAUUAAAUUAGAUCUACGAGAUACUAGGAAUUGGGAAUCAGCAGAGUGGUAUAUGAAUGCCUCUCUGUUUACUCCCUUUCAACAAUUAGAGUCUCUUUAUCUAAUUGGGAACAAUAUAGCUGGUUGUGUUGAAAAUGAAGGUCCUUAAUUUACUUUAUUUUAAUUCUUCCUCCUCGUAAUUUCUUACAUCUAUCUGAUCCCUUUUGGCUUUUAUUUAAUUUUUACGUGAUACAAUAAAAUUAUUUUUUAUUUUUUGUCAGGUCUAGAUACGUUAUCAAGGUUGAACAACUUGAAGUUUCUUUAUUUAGACUAUAACCACUUCAACAACAGCAUCUUUUCAUCUCUAGGUGGUCUUUCAUCACUCAGAAACUUAUCAUUGAUUGGUAAUAGAUUGAUUGGAAGUAUUGAUAUUAAAGGUAAGUACGCUUCAACCCUUUUCCCCUGUCCCAUCUUUUGUGGAUCUUAUUUCACUGAGCAGCUGGAAGUAUUGAUACGAGAUCUAGCUAGAUUCUUGCGAGUUUAGGCUUCAAGGCUUUGAAUAUUAUAAAAAUAGGAUUAAGAAAUUAUCAAUAUAUGCAAUUUUCAAUGCUUCUCAUAGUCAGACACAAUUCAAUCUAAUUAUUUCUUAUGUCCUGUCUUCAAAAGUAAAGAAUUGUACACUAAAUGGAAAUCGACAUCAUAGCAUUUUAUUUUCUGUAAUGAUAUUUCUUCGUUAACAAAUUUAUAUCCUAAGAGGGAUUGGAUUUAAAAAAAAAAAGAUUUGAUGUUCAAGGUAAGCCAUAAUAACCUGCAUCUUAUUUGUCUGCCGAUAUCCAAAUUUGUGCACUGAAUUUAGUAUUUUGGUUAUUGUGAAGGGAUCAGAUAUUGUCUUCCAUAGACCAACUUGUAUUUACUUAAUUAAUUAAUUAACGCCAUUUAGUAUUUAACAAAUUAAAAUUUCGUAUUUAAUCUAUUUUAAAUUUUUUAAGAAAAAAGAAAAAGAUAUAGCCGUAGGUAAAGCUAAAAUAAAUUUAAAUUCCUUACAAAUUUAAAUUCAUGGUUGUCAGCUAAAUAUACCUGCUUAAAGCCACUCAGUCGAGCCCUUUAAGAGCUGCUUUAAGUUUUUCGGAUUAGCCAUAUUCUUUUCACAUAAAUAAAUUUCUUUGCGCCGAGAUUUAAAAUAACGAAGGAGAAAAUAAGUUAUUUAAUUAACCCUGUUUUAAGUGUUGGCAUAAAUGCAGGACUGGAUUCCUUGGGUAACUUGGAGGAGCUGGACAUGAGCGACAAUGCAAUCAACAAUCUAGUGAUUCCUAAAGGUAUACAAAAUGUUCAAAUAUUAAUAAUUUGGAAGACAAUUUAAUUGAUUUGAUUAGGGAUUUCCCAAUGACACUUACCCAAAAUAAUUUAAUCCGAAAUUGUAAUCCAAAUAGAUUACAGAGGUUUGAGGAAGUUGAAUACCCUUUACUUAGGGGGAACGGAAAUUGCAAUGAUAGAUGGAAGCAAGGUGUUACAAUCAAUAGGAUCACUACCGUCCCUCAAAACACUUUACCUUUCGUCUACUAAUUUUAAGGGAACAGUAGUUAAUCAAGGUAAGUAAGUCUUUUAUGUCGAAAAUAAUUGAAUUAAUAUAUAUAGCUAAAAUUUACUGUUUCUUCUUCUUUGUAAAUAGAAUUGCACAAUUUCACCAACUUGGAAGAAUUGAUAUUGGACGAUUCUGAUCUCCACAUAAGCCAGCUUCUGCAAAGCAUCGCAUCAUUCACUUCGUUAAAGUAUUUGUCAAUGGGAUUUUGUACACUCACGGGUGCGCUACAUGGUCAAGGUAAAUUACGGGUAUCUGAAGCUUUUAUGAUAUUAAUUCGAUAAUAAUUAUUUCUUUUCAAGUUAAUUUUCUCCCAUAAAAUAAUAUAUAUUUUUUUAAAUUUUAUAUAUUUUCACUGUCCAAUAGUUCUAGCUUCUCUAAUUUGCAGGAUUCUUGAUUAAGGUUAAUGAAAUUUUAGUUCUGUUAUGUUAAGAAUAUUUCGAUCGCUUAGAAGAGUAAAGAAAAAUAAGUAAAUUAACCAAAAAAAAAAGAAAAGAAAAGGACCGGAUUAUCCUUAUUCCCUUGCAUUAUGUGAUCAAUAUCAAAAUUAUAAUCAUUUCUUGUUUAUUGCUUGUAGAUUUUCGUAAAUUCAAGAAUUUGAAAAAUCUGGACAUGAAUCUGGUGUAUGUUGACGUCAACACCAGUUUUCUUCAAAUUGUCGGUGAAUCGAUGCCUUCUCUCAAGUUUUUAUCACUGACAGAUUCAAUUCUUAAUAAAAACACCAUUCUUGAUCAAGGUUAAUUAAUGAUUCUCCUUCUCCCUCUCUCGCAUCAUAACUAAAUUUAAUUGAGAAUAUCUAUAAUGCGAGCUAUUUAUAAACUUAAUGAAAGAUGAUAAGGAGCUACUAUAAUGACAAAAACAACUGUAAAAUAGUGCGCUGUUGUAGUGUUAAUUGAAAAAUAAUGCUAAUUUUAUAGUCAUUUUGUUGCCAUUACGUCAGAUUCCAUUGUUCAAUUAUUUAAGUUUUAUGCAAAUAUAUUUUUCAGGACUUUGUCGGUUAGUGCAUCUACAAGAGUUAUACAUCGGCGGUAAUGAUUUGAGAGGUAGCUUGCCAUGGUGCUUGGCAAACAUGACAUCCCUCCAAGUGUUAGAUGCCUCUUUUAAUCAACUUACUGGAAACAUCUCCCCAGGCCUUUGUGAGUUGGUGCUUCUGAGAGAGUUAUACAUUGAUUACAAUGAUUUAAGAGGUAGCUUGCCUUUGUGCUUGGCAAAUUUGACUUCCCUUCGAGUAUUAGAUGUCUCUUACAAUCAACUUACUGAAAACAUCUCAUCUUCCCUCAUGCAUCUAAUAUCUAUGGAAAAGCUCAUACUUUCAAAUAAUCACUUCUUCCAAAUCCCUAUUUCACUUGAACCACUUUUCAAUCUCACAAAACUCAAGACUUUCGAUGGUGAAAUAUACGCAGAAACUGAGUCACAUUAUAAUUCUUUGACCCCAAAAUUCCAAUUGACUUCUAUCUCAUUGUCUGGCUACGGAGAUGGUGGCACAUUUCCCAAAUUCUUGUACCAUCAGCAUGACUUGAAGAAUGCUGAUCUCUCACACCUUAACUUGAGUGGAAAUUUUCCAAAUUGGUUGGUAGAAAACAAUACGAACUUAGAGACGCUUCUUCUUGCCAAUAACUCUCUUUUUGGAUCAUUUCGGAUGCCAAUUCAUUCCCACCAGAAAUUAGCAACAUUGGAUGUCUCCAACAAUUUCUUUCAAGGCCAUAUCCCAGUAGAAAUCGGAAUAUAUCUGCCAGGCUUAAUGCAUUUAAACUUAUCUAGAAAUGCUUUCAACGGUAGCAUUCCCUCUUCAUUUGCUGAUACGAAAAUGUUGAAAAGCUUGGACAUAUCCUACAAUCAGUUGACUGGUGAAAUCCCUGAGCGCAUGGCCAUGGGUUGCUUCUCAUUGGAAAUUCUUGCAUUGUCAAACAACAGUUUGCAAGGUCAUAUAUUCUCUAAAAAAUUUAACUUGACAAAUUUGAUGAUGUUGCAGUUGGAUGGUAAUAAAUUCAUUGGAGAGAUCCCAGAAAGCUUAUCUAAGUGCUAUUUGUUGGGAGGAUUGUAUCUGAGUGAUAAUCAUCUCUCUGGUGAGAUUCCAAGAUGGUUGGGUAAUUUGUCAGGUUUAGAAGAUAUUAUAAUGCCCAAUAACAAUCUUGAAGGACCAAUUCCAAUCGAGUUUUGUCAGCUUGAUUAUCUGAAGAUUUUAGACCUUUCAAACAAUAGUAUUUUUGGAACUUUACCAUCUUGUUUUAGUCCAGCAUCUAUCGAACAAGUUCAUUUGUCGAAAAACAAGAUAGAAAGACGGCUGGAGAGUAUAAUCCAUGACAGCCCUCAUUUGGUGACAUUCGAUCUUAGUUAUAACAGCUUACACGGAAGUAUUCCAAAUUGGAUUGACAGACUACCUCAGUUAAACUACCUUCUUUUAGCUCAUAAUUAUAUUAAAGGCGAAAUACCAGUUCAAUUAUGCCAGUUGAAGGAAGUGCGGUUGAUUGAUCUUUCUCAUAAUAAUCUAUCUGGUCAUAUUCCUCCUUGCUUGGUUAACACUUCACUCAGUGAAGGUCAUCAUGAGGCAGUAGCUCCAACUUCUAGUUCGUGUGGUCGAGCGUCUGGCUAUGCAAGUCCAUGUGCGAAAAAUACAAGUGGACUUCCGAUGGGAAAGGAAGAAACUGUACAGUUCACAACAAAGAAUAUGUCCUACUAUUAUCAAGGAAGAAUUUUGACGAGUAUGUCUGGGAUUGAUCUUUCUUGUAACAAACUGACAGGUGAGAUUCCUACUCAAAUUGGAUAUCUUACAAGGAUUCGUGCGCUAAAUCUAUCUCAUAACAAUUUGACGGGCACAAUCCCGACAACAUUUUCAAACCUGAAGCAAAUCGAAAGCUUGGACCUCUCCUACAACCUACUGCAUGGGAAAAUCCCUUCUCAGCUCACUGUGCUAAAUACAUUGGCGGUCUUCA
This 12290-nucleotide long non-coding RNA is filed under the name Citrus x clementina. RNAcentral's name for it is "Citrus clementina (C. clementina) long non-coding RNA (CCLE_LNC001060)". The record is from RNAcentral. Lineage: Eukaryota; Viridiplantae; Streptophyta; Magnoliopsida; Sapindales; Rutaceae.